Molecule: ribosomal RNA, 761 nt
Filed under: Prevotella melaninogenica
Lineage: Bacteria; Pseudomonadati; Bacteroidota; Bacteroidia; Bacteroidales; Prevotellaceae
Description: bacterial SSU rRNA
Rfam family: Bacterial small subunit ribosomal RNA
Source: RNAcentral
GAUGAACGCUAGCUACAGGCUUAACACAUGCAAGUCGAGGGGAAACGGCAUUGAGUGCUUGCACUCUUUGGACGUCGACCGGCGCACGGGUGAGUAACGCGUAUCCAACCUUCCCAUUACUGUGGGAUAACCUGCCGAAAGGCAGACUAAUACCGCAUAGUCUUCGAUGACGGCAUCAGAUUUGAAGUAAAGAUUUAUCGGUAAUGGAUGGGGAUGCGUCUGAUUAGCUUGUUGGUGGGGUAACGGCCCACCAAGGCAACGAUCAGUAGGGGUUCUGAGAGGAAGGUCCCCCACAUUGGAACUGAGACACGGUCCAAACUCCUACGGGAGGCAGCAGUGAGGAAUAUUGGUCAAUGGACGGAAGUCUGAACCAGCCAAGUAGCGUGCAGGAUGACGGCCCUAUGGGUUGUAAACUGCUUUUGUAUGGGGAUAAAGUUAGGGACGUGUCCCUAUUUGCAGGUACCAUACGAAUAAGGACCGGCUAAUUCCGUGCCAGCAGCCGCGGUAAUACGGAAGGUCCAGGCGUUAUCCGGAUUUAUUGGGUUUAAAGGGAGCGUAGGCUGGAGAUUAAGUGUGUUGUGAAAUGUAGACGCUCAACGUCUGAAUUGCAGCGCAUACUGGUUUCCUUGAGUACGCACAACGUUGGCGGAUUUCGUCGUGUAGCGGUGAAAUGCUUAGAUAUGACGAAGAACUCCGAUUGCGAAGGCAGCUGACGGGAGCGCAACUGACGCUGAAGCUCGAAGGUGCGGGUAUCAAACAGG